RNAcentral lists this transfer RNA (77 nucleotides) under Actinobacteria bacterium ADurb.BinA094. RNAcentral describes it as "tRNA-Pro". It matches the Rfam family "tRNA". Rfam says of the family: Transfer RNA (tRNA) molecules are approximately 80 nucleotides in length. Their secondary structure includes four short double-helical elements and three loops (D, anti-codon, and T loops). RNAcentral also lists the same sequence under 1 other name. The record is from RNAcentral. Lineage: Bacteria; Bacillati; Actinomycetota.
CGGGACGUGGCGCAGCCUGGUAGCGCACCUGCUUUGGGAGCAGGGGGUCGGCGGUUCAAGUCCGCCCGUCCCGACCA